ACAUGGCUCAGGACGAACGCUGGCGGCGUGCCUAAUACAUGCAAGUCGUACGCUUCUUUUUCCACCGGAGCUUGCUCCACCGGAAAAAGAAGAGUGGCGAACGGGUGAGUAACACGUGGGUAACCUGCCCAUCAGAAGGGGAUAACACUUGGAAACAGGUGCUAAUACCGUAUAACAAUCGAAACCGCAUGGUUUUGAUUUGAAAGGCGCUUUCGGGUGUCGCUGAUGGAUGGACCCGCGGUGCAUUAGCUAGUUGGUGAGGUAACGGCUCACCAAGGCCACGAUGCAUAGCCGACCUGAGAGGGUGAUCGGCCACAUUGGGACUGAGACACGGCCCAAACUCCUACGGGAGGCAGCAGUAGGGAAUCUUCGGCAAUGGACGAAAGUCUGACCGAGCAACGCCGCGUGAGUGAAGAAGGUUUUCGGAUCGUAAAACUCUGUUGUUAGAGAAGAACAAGGAUGAGAGUAACUGUUCUCCCCUGACGG
RNAcentral lists this ribosomal RNA (486 nucleotides) under Enterococcus faecium. Its description in RNAcentral is "bacterial SSU rRNA". It matches the Rfam family "Bacterial small subunit ribosomal RNA", at positions 17 to 475 of the family's 1533-position model. The record is from RNAcentral. Lineage: Bacteria; Bacillati; Bacillota; Bacilli; Lactobacillales; Enterococcaceae.